Electrophorus electricus (electric eel) is the source of this 3648-nucleotide long non-coding RNA. NCBI's taxonomy places the organism in Eukaryota, Metazoa, Chordata, Actinopteri, Gymnotiformes, Gymnotidae. The record is from Ensembl.
AAAGACAUUUUGUCACAAGCUGCAAUUUCUACUAAACAGGAUGGAGAAUAUUACCAAUUACCAGGAUGCAUUUCCAGAGGUUGAGCUAGAUUUUGAAGAUCUACAGUUCGAUGACAGUACUAAAUCUCAAACACAACUGGCCAUGGAUGAUGAUCUGAAAGACAUCGGAAAUCUCUGGGCAACAUCUGUCCAAGUUUCAAACAAGACAUUUACAGAUGUUUAUAAACAGGAAGAAAAUGCAGACAGUUCUGAUAACAGUGAAGAGAGUGCAUUGCAUAAUCUGCCUGAUGUAAAAACAGGAUCUACAGUUUACCUGCCUUCUGGAGUAUCUUAUGAACAGGUUUUAAAAAAGACAAUAAUGGAAACACAACAACUGAGCCAGACAUGCGAAGAGUACACUGUAGAGGAAGAAAACAGGAAAGGUGACUCAGAAACAGGUGUUCUUGCCGAUGUCAACACACAGAGAGAAGAAAGGUUCAGAGAGGAGGAAACCAUUAAACUUCAGUUUGAAUCUCCUGAGGGUCUGGACAUUUCUAGUGCAGAAUAUCCGCCAUUCAUGGAACAAACAUCACAUCCAGUGUCUAGUGGAACUCGGAUGAUACAGAAGAGAUCAUCAGUGUCAGAUGAGUCAGUCAGCUGCAGUGCAGAAGAUCAAACAUCCCAUUGUAAAUCUGAUGGUAACAAGGAUGAACUUUUUGUUGCAGGGUGCCAUGUCAGAUAUGAUUUGAGGGAGUUUACAGAGGAAGACCAAGAACAGGUAGAGGAAAGUCUUGCAGAAUACCCCUCAGAUUUAUCCCAAAGUGAAUCUGAGACAUGUGCUGAAAGUGGAAGGAACAAGCUGGUCAUCCCCUUAGAUAGCAGUUUUUGCUACGAUCACUCUGCACAUGAAAUAAAAGAUUCAUCUGGGGCAGAAGGAAACUUUCAAGAGCGAGAGAGAAAAACAGAUUGUUCUGCCACAGACAGUAAUUCUAAGAUUAAUAAACUAGGGAUUGAUUAUAUAUCAGAUAUAGCAGAUAUAAAUGUGUCAUUACAGACUGUGAAUGCCAAUGAAGAUGACCUCCAAGGGAUUCUAACAAAGGAUUAUAUCACAGUGGAAGACACCAAGAAUAAAGAGGACUCUGGAGAUGAAAGAGAUGUUAAUGACCAACCAGGUUAUGACAGUGACAUCAGUAAUGAUGACAACAGCACAAGUCAAGAAGAAACUAGUUUUCUCCCAUCUGAGAAGGACAAAUGGAAAAAUGUUACACAGCAUAACUUCACAGACGACACGGUGAGGGCUGAUAGUAUCAAUUACAAAGAGACAGAUAAGGAUGGUACAAAUGAUAGCAAUCUGGAGAAGUCUAUCCAUAGUGCAGAACAUUUGACUUUCAAUGUAUCAAUCAGUGAGGGCAAGGAGACAACCUCCACAAGCAAAACCUCUUUAUCAUAUGGCGAAUACUGUCACAAGGAAUCCAAUGAACAAUCCACAGAGUUGCACUCCAAACUUGAAAUAGUCCAGCUGGGCUCAGCCAUUAAAGAACAAGUCCAGUCACCUUCAGAGGUUACAGACAGCAUAAGAGAUACCAACACUUUAAUACCUGAAGCAUUUUGGUCCUCAGUACUGAUGGAUGAUGACAGCCUAUGCUUAGAUGACUAUAACUGGAACUUGACUGAAGGGGAGCUAAGUGAAGCAGAAAAACAGGAAGCCAUAGAAGAAACCCUAGGGAAGAUGGACCACAGUGAAGAUGGAGAAGAGAAUGAGAGUGACUGGGAGAAGAAGACCAGAAUUGAGGCAUUUAACCAAUUUUAUGGUGACCAGACUGAGACAUGGGGUGAAAUAGGCAGGAAUCAUAGAGUUACCUUUUGCUUGGAUCAUGAACCUUCUGAAUAUGAGGAGGACUCUGAAAGGUAAACAACUUCAUUAAUCUCAAACCACCUGUUAUUCAGCUCAUGUGUGGUUAUGCAUAUCUGGCCCAUUCUAUAAACCCAUAAUAUAAGCAUACUCAUCCAAAAGCACUGAAGAGGAACAGGACAAAGAGCCCCACGCAGCUGUUACUACGGUGAAACCUGAGGUGAGACCACCAUCACUAGUCUAAGAGCACCGGUGAAUGCCUGUGACAUGGAGGCAGCUUUAUGGUACUAUGUGUCUUGUAGUACCACAGUGAGUCAGAUGAGCCAGAAGAGAAGCUUUUCCAUCCGGAGAAGCCAAAGACACGACCAAAGGAGCAGCAACAUGUGAGCCCAGCACUGAAGACACACCCUCAAAGAAACAGGGUAAGUCAUUGUGGUCAAAAAUAAAUAAAUCUUGUAGUUGUCGUCCUUACAGUCUCACUAUGUGGAAACAAAAGUGAAAAGGAUUUUUAAUUAUCUUUUUAUGCCUAGUCAGUUUACUUAAAGCAUUGGAGAAUACCCAUAAAUGCAUUUGUUACAAUUUCAUACAUACUGACAAGAGGAAAUGCAGGAGAUGCAGCAGGAACGUCAGUGUCCAAUUUCAAACGGUUUGAAUUUCAGCCAAUUACCUGUAGGGAUUUUUUCCCACUGUUAACUAGACUAACUGCACUACCCAGUGUUUAAUUGCAUCUGAAAUCAUUUGAUUGUUAAUUAUCUCAUCAAAAUCUUUCUUUGUCUGUGUCCUUCCACUGUAGUGUCUUGCUGUGCUGAAAUCAGCUUUAGCACUGGGCCUGAUGACAGCAGUAGGUGUGCUGUCUUUCUGGUGGGCAACAGACAGUCUGGACCAGACACACUGAAUUCAAACCUUAUUGUUGAUUAUUAAUUAAAAAUAACUCAAUGUAGGUUGGAAGAAUCAAUCUAAUAAAAAAAGCCCAGAUAUUCUACACUGUUGCGACAUAGGUAUAAAUAUAGAAAAGGGGGCAUGGAUUACUCUUUGAAUUUUUAGUUAAAAAAAGAAAACCAUUGAUGUCAUAGUGGUUUGUUGAUCCUGGUGAAAAAUAACAUCCAGUGAGUCAGCUGUGAUUGGACCAACUUUAUUUCCUUACAGAUUACAAUGUUUCAACAUGCUCCAGGGCUGUGUUUUUAAAUGGUGAAAAAGACAUUUGUCUCACCAUAAUGUAAUUACUCUGUAUACUUCAACAUUAAUGUUGGCCUACAGGAAAACAAUCUAUUUCAGUGCACAGAUGUUUUUAUCACUGUUUUUCUUCUUUAUAGGCACAUAAUCUAUUGUUACCAUUAUCAAUUAAAACAAAUUCCUCUAAUCAUGCCAUGCAGUUAGUGUGAAUAGUGGGACUGAAUAUUUCCACCUUUUUUAUAUUAAAGCAUUGACUAUGAUUUCUUGGUGCAAGAUACCAUUUCUGUGAAACUUCAUGACCCUUUGCCAUCAUGCUCUACUGUAAAUUCAGCUCAAUCCCAUAACAUUUCCUGUGCCUUCUUACAGUGAAGAACAAUUAGGAUUAAACAAGUAAUGAUGCUUUUUUUUGGUUUCUUUUUCUGUUUAACACAAGCUACAUUUCUAGCAAGCAACGGCCUGCAUGAUCACUCUUUCUCAGUGGUUCAGUGUGUCUACAGCAUCAGCAACAAUAAACACAGCAAGAUUAGUCCCAUUUUGAGGAAUUUACAACAAAAGCUCUGAUAUUCAAUCUGCCAGUUUAGUGACUAUGGAUGUUUAAUGACUCAGAUGUUAAUAAAAAUCACUGAAUUGAUGUGAAAUGAAAC